GGUACACGAGCGGCGAACGGGUGAGUAACACGUGGGUGAUCUGCCCUGCACUCUGGGAUAAGCUUGGGAAACUGGGUCUAAUACCGGAUAUGACCACAGCAUGCAUGUGUUGUGGUGGAAAGAUUUAUCGGUGCAGGAUGGGCCCGCGGCCUAUCAGCUUGUUGGUGGGGUAAUGGCCUACCAAGGCGACGACGGGUAGCCGACCUGAGAGGGUGACCGGCCACACUGGGACUGAGACACGGCCCAGACUCCUACGGGAGGCAGCAGUGGGGAAUAUUGCACAAUGGGCGGAAGCCUGAUGCAGCGACGCCGCGUGAGGGAUGAAGGCCUUCGGGUUGUAAACCUCUUUCAGCAGGGACGAAGCGUGAGUGACGGUACCUGCAGAAGAAGCACCGGCUAACUACGUGCCAGCAGCCGCGGUAAUACGUAGGGUGCGAGCGUUGUCCGGAAUUACUGGGCGUAAAGAGUUCGUAGGCGGUUUGUCGCGUCGUUUGUGAAAACCCGGGGCUCAACUUCGGGCUUGCAGGCGAUACGGGCAGACUUGAGUGUUUCAGGGGAGACUGGAAUUCCUGGUGUAGCGGUGAAAUGCGCAG
Molecule: ribosomal RNA, 593 nt
Filed under: Rhodococcoides fascians
Lineage: Bacteria; Bacillati; Actinomycetota; Actinomycetes; Mycobacteriales; Nocardiaceae
Description: bacterial SSU rRNA
Rfam family: Bacterial small subunit ribosomal RNA
Source: RNAcentral